CUGUUUGCAGAGGAGGGCACAUGGGAAAAUGGAGCAGGGAGGGGAGAAAGUUUCCUGCUGCUGGGCAGGAAGAUGAACAGGGAGGGCACUGGAAAAAAAAAUUCUGGGCGUCCAUGGGAGUGGCUGCCGCUGCUUUGUGUAGUAGCUCGACCAGGAACAGAGAGGGGCGAGCUGCAGAGGGGCAUCCAUGGGAAGGAGUCCUCUGCUGGGCGUGCAGUCAAUAGGGAAAAAGAAAAAAAAACGCCAUGGGGAACUAGCAGCAAGGGGCGUCCAUGGAGAAAGAGUUGUUGCGGCAUCGGCCUCUCGCCCUGGAUGGAGCUCGGAUGGGGGAGGAAGAAGCUGGCUGGAGAUGCGGUGCAGGUACUGGCGGCCAUGGGAGAAACUCGAGCUCGCUGCCAUGGGGGAAGCUUCAGCGCGUUGAGGAAGAAGGAGCAGGGGGCGCCAUGGUUGGCUGAGGGGAGGAGCUCGCCAUUUGGAGCAGUGGCAGGGGGCGCCUGUGACUGCCUUGCUGUGGAGGCCGUCAGCCAUGGAAGGCAGAGAGCAGAGGGCAUGCACGCCAAGGAGGAAGAGGGCUGGCGUGGGGAGAAGAAGACAGGGAGGCUAUGGCGGCUGGGAAGAAGUGAGGGGUGGGAGUGA
RNAcentral lists this unclassified non-coding RNA (636 nucleotides) under Zea mays. Its description in RNAcentral is "misc RNA Zm00001eb024140". Lineage: Eukaryota; Viridiplantae; Streptophyta; Magnoliopsida; Poales; Poaceae. The record is from RNAcentral.